RNAcentral lists this ribosomal RNA (2057 nucleotides) under anaerobic digester metagenome. Its description in RNAcentral is "bacterial LSU rRNA". It matches the Rfam family "Bacterial large subunit ribosomal RNA", at positions 92 to 1974 of the family's 2925-position model. The record is from RNAcentral.
AUAAGCGUAGAAGCGAGGAUGUCCGAAUGGGAGUUAUCCCACCAGAGUGGAGCUCUGGUAUAUACAGAAGAAAGAAGUAUUCUGUAUAGAAAAGCAGGGGAAGUGAAACAUCUAAGUACCCUGAGGAAAAGAAAUCAAACGAGAUUCCCUUAGUAGCGGCGAGCGAAGCGGGAAGAGUCCAAACAUAUAAAAUGUAAGACUGUAGUCGUUGUUUUAUAUGUGUUUAGGAUAAUCCAGUUGUUGCUACAGAGACAAGCGGGUUAAAUUAAUACUUUAGUUGAACGGUCUGGAAAGUCCGACCAAAGGAGGUAAUAGUCCUGUAAACGAAAAGGUAUUAAACCCGGGAUUAUCCCGAGUACCACGGGCCACGAGGAAUCCUGUGGGAAGAUGGGAGGACCACCUUCCAAGACUAAAUACUAACUGGUGACCGAUAGUGAACAAGUACCGUGAGGGAAAGGUGAAAAGAACCCCGGGAGGGGAGUGAAAUAGAACCUGAAACCGUAAGCUUACAAUGAGUAGUAGGGCUAUUAUAUAAGCCUGACUGCUUACUUUUUGUAUCACGGACCGGCGAGUUACUGUCUGUAGCGAGAGGUUAAGCCGCAAGCGGUGUAGCCAUAGCGAAAGCGAGUCUGAAGAGGGCGCAAGUUGCAGGUAGUAGACCCGAAUCCGGGUGAUCUACCCAUGUCCAGGGUGAAGAGUGAAACCCCGUGGAGGCCGAACCGCAUUGGUGUUGAAAAACCAUGGGAUGAGAUGUGGGUAGGAGUGAAAGGCCAAUCGAACCCGGAGAUAGCUGGUUCUCCUCGAAAUAGCUUUAGGGCUAGCCUCGAAUUGACUAAUAAGGCUGUAGAGCACUGAUUGGACUAGGGGCCCAACAAGGUUACCGAAUCCAUUCAAACUCCGAAGGCUUUAUUAGAGAUAUUCGGGAGUCAGACUAUGGGGGAUAAGCUUCAUAGUCGAAAGGGAAACAGCCCAGAUCACCAGCUAAGGUCCCCAAGUACAGGCUAAGUGGAAAAGGAAGUGAGAUCGCAGAGACAACCAGGAUGUUGGCUUAGAAGCAGCCACACAUUUAAAGAGUGCGUAACAGCUCACUGGUCAAGCGUUUUUGCGCCGAAAAUGUAAUGGGGCUUAAGCCUGUCACCGAAGCUGUGAAUUUUAGAGGUUGGAGGUUAGAGGCAUUACUGGAAAUUAGAAGUUAGAGGUUAGAAGUUAGAGAUGAGAUGAAGACAUUGACUUUAGUCAAUGUUAACAUUUAAUUCAACAUCCAACUUCCAGCUUCCAAUAUCUAGAAUGCUUCCAAUCUCCAACUUCUAGAAUGGUAGAGGAGCAUUGUAUACUGGCUGAAGCUGUACCGGAAGGAGCAGUGGACGGUAUACAAGAGAGAAUGCCGGUAUGAGUAGCGAGAAAGGGGUGAGAAUCCCCUUCACCGAAAGUCUAAGGUUUCCUGAGGAAGGUUCGUCCACUCAGGGUAAGCCGGGAACUAAGCCGAGGCCGAAAGGCGUAGGCGAUGAGAAAUCGGUAGAAAUUCCGAUGCCACUAUUAAGCAUUUGAGUGAAGUGGUGACGCGACAAAGAAGGCAAUCAUGGUAUUGGAUUACCAUGUAUAAGCUAAAAGCAGGGAUAAGGAGGUAAAUCCCUUUAUCUGUUAACUGCGGCUAGUGAUAUGGAGCCAUUAAGGCGAAGUUGCUGGAUGAGUAGCCAAGAAAAGCCACUAACGAGUUUGAUAGUGCCCGUACCGUAAACUGACACAGGUAGACAGGGAGAGGAUCCCAAGGUGAGCGAGAUAACCUCUGUUAAGGAACUCGGCAAAAUAGCCCCGUAACCUAGGGAGAAGGGGUGCCAUAGCUGCAUAGCAGUUAUGGUUGCAACAAACAGGCUCAGACGACUGUUUAGCAAAAACACAGGUCUCUGCUAAGUCGUGAGACGAAGUAUAGGGGCUGACGCCUGCCCGGUGCUGGAAGGUCAAGGAGAAGUCUUAGCGUAAAGCGAAGGAUUGAACCUAAGCCCCAGUAAACGGCGGCCGUAACUAUAACGGUCCUAAGGUAGCGAAAUUCCUUGUCG